This 72-nucleotide transfer RNA is filed under the name Bos taurus (domestic cattle). It matches the Rfam family "tRNA". From Rfam's summary of the family: Transfer RNA (tRNA) molecules are approximately 80 nucleotides in length. Their secondary structure includes four short double-helical elements and three loops (D, anti-codon, and T loops). Further hydrogen bonds mediate the characteristic L-shaped molecular structure. tRNAs have two regions of fundamental functional importance: the anti-codon, which is responsible for specific mRNA codon recognition, and the 3' end, to which the tRNAs corresponding amino acid is attached (by aminoacyl-tRNA synthetases). tRNAs cope with the degeneracy of the genetic code in two manners: having more than one tRNA (with a specific anti-codon) for a particular amino acid; and 'wobble' base-pairing, i.e. permitting non-standard base-pairing at the 3rd anti-codon position. The record is from Rfam by way of RNAcentral. RNAcentral also lists the same sequence under 2 other names. Lineage: Eukaryota; Metazoa; Chordata; Mammalia; Artiodactyla; Bovidae.
UCCCUGGUGGCUCAGCUGGUAAAGAAUCUGCCUGCAAUGCAGGGGACCUGGGUUUGAUCCCUGGUUUGGGAA